RNAcentral lists this ribosomal RNA (468 nucleotides) under uncultured bacterium. RNAcentral's name for it is "partial 16S ribosomal RNA". It matches the Rfam family "Bacterial small subunit ribosomal RNA", at positions 28 to 507 of the family's 1533-position model. The record is from RNAcentral.
GACGAACGCUGGCGGCGUGCUUAACACAUGCAAGUCGAACGGAAAGGCCCUGCUUUUGUGGGGUUCUCGAGUGGCGAACGGGUGAGUAACACGUGAGUAACCUGCCCUUUACUUUGUGAUAACUUCAGGAAACUGGGGCUAAUACCGGCUAGGAGCUCCUGCUGCAUGGUGGGGGUUGGAAAGUUUCGGCGGUUGGGGAUGGACUCGCGGCUUAUCAGCUUGUUGGUGGGGUAGUGGCUUACCAAUGCUUUGACGGGUAGCCGGCAUGAGAGGGUGACAGGCGAAAUUGGGACUGAGAUACGGACCAGAGUAAUACGGGAGGCAGCAGUGGGGAAUAUUGCAAAAUGGGAGGAAGCCUGAUGCAGCAAAGGCGCGUGCGGGAUGACGGCCUUCGGGGUGUAAAAAGAUUUCGAAUGUGACGAAGAGUGAGUGAAGGUAAUGGGUAAAGAAGCAACGGCUAACUACGUG